GGGAAUCUUGGACAAUGGGGGCAACCCUGAUCCAGCGAUGCCGCGUGAGCGAAGAAGGCCUUAGGGUUGUAAAGCUCUUUCGCCCGCGACGAUGAUGACGGUAGCGGGAGAAGAAGCCCCGGCUAACUCCGUGCCAGCAGCCGCGGUAAUACGGAGGGGGCUAGCGUUGUCCGGAAUUACUGGGCGUAAAGCGCGCGUAGGCGGUCCACCAAGUCGGGGGUGAAAGCCCGGGGCUCAACCCCGGAAUGUCCUCCGAGACUGUUGGACUGGAGUUCGGGAGAGNAGAGCGGAAUUCCCAGUGUAGAGGUGAAAUUCGUAGAUAUUGGGAAGAACACCGGUGGCGAAGGCGGCUCUCUGGCCCGCAACUGACGCUGAGGCGCGAAAGCGUGGGGAGCAAACA
RNAcentral lists this ribosomal RNA (400 nucleotides) under uncultured bacterium. RNAcentral describes it as "bacterial SSU rRNA". It matches the Rfam family "Bacterial small subunit ribosomal RNA", at positions 357 to 774 of the family's 1533-position model. The record is from RNAcentral.